RNAcentral lists this ribosomal RNA (1351 nucleotides) under metagenome. RNAcentral describes it as "SSU rRNA". It matches the Rfam family "Eukaryotic small subunit ribosomal RNA", at positions 528 to 1777 of the family's 1831-position model. The record is from RNAcentral.
AAUCCCUUAUCGAUUAACAAUUAGAGGGCAAGUCUGGUGCCAGCAGCCGCGGUAAUUCCAGCUCUAAUAGCGUAUAUUAAAGUUGUUGCAGUUAAAAAGCUCGUAGUUGGAUUUCGGCGUGCGCUCAGGCUGGUCGGCCGUCAAGGUCUGUACCGUUUGGGUCACGCCCCACUGUAGGAUACUCACCGCUGUCCUUAACUGGGUGGCGGUCAAAGGGGGUGUGCAUGGGGGCAACUCUGUGCAUAUCUCUGGGGUUCCUACUCUUUUACUUUGAGCAAAUUAGAGUGUUCAAAGCAGGCAAUCGAGCCUUGAAUACUUCAGCAUGGGAUAAUGGAACAGGACUGGGGUCCUGAUUUCGUUGGUUUCUGGGAUCUCAGUAAUGAUUAAUAGGGAUAGUUGGGGGCAUUAGUAUUUAAUUGUCAGAGGUGAAAUUCUUGGAUUUAUGAAAGACUAACUUCUGCGAAAGCAUUUGCCAAGGAUGUUUUCAUUAAUCAAGAACGAAAGUUAGGGGAUCGAGGACGAUCAGAUACCGUCGUAGUCUUAACCAUAAACGAUGCCGACCAGCGAUUGGGAGACGUUACAUGGAUGACUCCCCCAGCAGCUUGCGAGAAAUCACAAGUCUUUGGGUUCCGGGGGGAGUAUGGUCGCAAGGCUGAAACUUAAAGGAAUUGACGGAAGGGCACCACCAGGAGUGGAGCCUGCGGCUUAAUUUGACCCAACACGGGGAAACUUACCAGGUCCAGACAUAGUAAGGAUUGACAGAUUUGAGAGCUCUUUCUUGAUUCUAUGGGUGGUGGUGCAUGGCCGUUCUUAGUUGGUGGAGUGAUUUGUCUGGUUAAGUCCGUUAACGAACGAGACCUUAACCUGCUAAAUAUGUCACUGGUAGACUUCUGCCAAAACAGGUGGGUGUCUAGGGGAAAGUUUCGAUGGACUCCGACGCAUUCAUCUGUGGAUGACUACCAGGAUGUACUUCUUAGAGGGACUAUCUGUAUCAAAGCAGAUGGAAGUUUGAGGCAAUAACAGGUCUGUGAUGCCCUUAGAUGUUCUGGGCCGCACGCGCGCUACACUGACAAGUUCAACGAGUUUAACACCUUGCUCGAUAGGGCUGGGUAAUCUUUGAAAAACUUGUCGUGAUGGGGAUAGAUCAUUGUAAUUAUUGGUCUUCAACGAGGAAUUCCUAGUAAGCGUGAGUCAUCAGCUCGCGUUGAUUACGUCCCUGCCCUUUGUACACACCGCCCGUCGCUCCUACCGAUUGAAUGAUCCGGUGAAAUGUUGGGAGCUGGGGUCUUUUGGCGGCGGGGCAACUCGUCGUCAGGGAUUCUGCAAACUUCAUUAAACCUUAUCAUUUAGA